This is an RNA transcript of Scomber japonicus (chub mackerel), 906 nucleotides long. It is a transcript of the gene named dynein light chain Tctex-type 2B, with no coding region annotated. Lineage: Eukaryota; Metazoa; Chordata; Actinopteri; Scombriformes; Scombridae. The transcript is spliced from 6 exons. The record is from RefSeq and is a predicted model, not a curated record.
AAUUCUGCCAAGGAUAGCUAGCUAGCAACGCUUGUCUUCUUUAUACUAAUCUAGUUGUUGCUAGUGUUUUGUUAUUGAAAUGCGAUGGAGGGGUCGGAUACAUACCUCAUACGACCUAACCACCAGCACAAGUUUAAAGCGGCCAUUGUGAAGGAGUGUAUUCGUGAAAUAGUGAGGGAGCGUCUCUCUGGAGUGCGGUAUGACCCAGAGGAAACUCCAGAGCUGUCCCGUACACUGGCAGACAGCAUUAAGGACAAAGUGAAGAAUGCAGGGUUUGACAGAUAUAAGCUUGUUGUGCAGGUGGUCAUUGGAGAACAACGUGGACAGGGAGUCAAGAUGUCUUCAAGAUGUUUGUGGGAUGCUGACACAGACAACUACGCAGAGGAUAUUUUCAUGAAUGACAACUUGUUUUGUGUGGUGGCAGUUUUUGGAAGCUAUUUCUACUGAGAAGGAACGAGGAAAGGAUGGAUCACAGAGGAUUCUUUCAGAUGAAAAGAUGUGAGCAAGCCAGCCCUCACCUGCACACCUUAAUGCUAUUCAGACUGUACUAUAUAUAAAGACUAAUGAGGCGGAAGUGAGCAGCUGAAGUGAUCAAGCUUAAUUGAAUCAAUUAGUUAAAUGACUCAUGCUUAUCACAUAUACAUGCCAAAGUUUACCCUUCUAUUUCUGGUUGCAAAACAGGGAAUUCACUUUUUGAAGUUCAGAUACAUCACAAAUAUCCUUUGGCCACACUGCAAAUCCACAUUAUUAUUAUUAUUAUUAUCAUUAUUGUGAAGUUAAUUUUAUUUGUUUUCUUUUCUUACAUUUAUUUGAAGUUUGUGCUGGUUUCCUUUCUCUUAAUUCAAGUUGAAUAUAUACAUACAUGUUUUUAUGUUAUCUGUCAUAUGUUAUCUUAUUUGAUAUUAU